RNAcentral lists this ribosomal RNA (447 nucleotides) under uncultured organism. Its description in RNAcentral is "partial 16S ribosomal RNA". It matches the Rfam family "Bacterial small subunit ribosomal RNA", at positions 335 to 798 of the family's 1533-position model. The record is from RNAcentral.
ACUCCUACGGGAGGCAGCAGUGGGGAAUAUUGGACAAUGGGCGCAAGCCUGAUCCAGCCAUGCCGCGUGAGUGAUGAAGGCCCUAGGGUUGUAAAGCUCUUUCACCGGUGAAGAUAAUGACGGUAACCGGAGAAGAAGCCCCGGCUAACUUCGUGCCAGCAGCCGCGGUAAUACGAAGGGGGCUAGCGUUGUUCGGAUUUACUGGGCGUAAAGCGCACGUAGGCGGACUAUUAAGUCAGGGGUGAAAUCCCGGGGCUCAACCCCGGAACUGCCUUUGAUACUGGUAGUCUUGAGUUCGAGAGAGGUGAGUGGAAUUCCGAGUGUAGAGGGGAAAUUCGUAGAUAUUCGGAGGAACACCAGUGGCGAAGGCGGCUCACUGGCUCGAUACUGACGCUGAGGUGCGAAAGCGUGGGGAGCAAACAGGAUUAGAAACCCGGGUAGUCCCAU